Molecule: ribosomal RNA, 253 nt
Filed under: uncultured bacterium
Lineage: Bacteria
Description: partial 16S ribosomal RNA
Rfam family: Bacterial small subunit ribosomal RNA
Source: RNAcentral
UACGUAGGGUGCGAGCGUUGUCCGGAAUUAUUGGGCGUAAAGGGCUCGUAGGCGGUUUGUCGCGUCGGGAGUGAAAACCAUGGGCUUAACUCAUGGCUUGCUUCCGAUACGGGCAGACUAGAGGUAUGCAGGGGAGAACGGAAUUCCUGGUGUAGCGGUGAAAUGCGCAGAUAUCAGGAGGAACACCGGUGGCGAAGGCGGGUCUCUGGGCAGUAACUGACGCUGAGGAGCGAAAGCGUGGGGAGCGAACAGG